Molecule: ribosomal RNA, 253 nt
Filed under: uncultured bacterium
Lineage: Bacteria
Description: partial 16S ribosomal RNA
Rfam family: Bacterial small subunit ribosomal RNA
Source: RNAcentral
UACGGGGGGGGCAAGCGUUGUUCGGAAUUACUGGGCGUAAAGGGCGCGUAGGCGGCCUUCUAAGUCGGACGUGAAAUCCCUCGGCUCAACCGAGGAACUGCGUCCGAUACUGGUUGGCUUGAAUUCGGGAGAGGGAUGCGGAAUUCCAGGUGUAGCGGUGAAAUGCGUAGAUAUCUGGAGGAACACCGGUGGCGAAGGCGGCAUCCUGGACCGAUAUUGACGCUGAUGCGCGAAAGCCAGGGGAGCAAACGGG